This 253-nucleotide ribosomal RNA is filed under the name uncultured bacterium. Its description in RNAcentral is "partial 16S ribosomal RNA". It matches the Rfam family "Bacterial small subunit ribosomal RNA", at positions 524 to 776 of the family's 1533-position model. The record is from RNAcentral.
UACAGAGGGGGCAAGCGUUGUUCGGAAUUACUGGGCGUAAAGGGCGCGUAGGCGGCCUGCUAAGUCGAACGUGAAAUCCCCGGGCUUAACCCGGGAACUGCGUCCGAUACUGGCUGGCUUGAAUCCGGGAGAGGGAUGUGGAAUUCCAGGUGUAGCGGUGAAAUGCGUAGAUAUCUGGAGGAACACCGGUGGCGAAGGCGGCAUCCUGGACCGGUAUUGACGCUGAGGCGCGAAAGCUAGGGGAGCAAACGGG